This is a small RNA of Streptomyces bingchenggensis BCW-1, 130 nucleotides long. It matches the Rfam family "Streptomyces RNA 5676". Rfam says of the family: Identified by deep sequencing of transcriptome at the end of exponential growth phase. Appears longer on northern blot than sequencing transcript. NCBI's taxonomy places the organism in Bacteria, Bacillati, Actinomycetota, Actinomycetes, Kitasatosporales, Streptomycetaceae. The record is from Rfam.
AGAUGAGAGAAACACCCCGCUCGCAGGGGACUGCGAGCGAUGCCGAGCCGGUGCUUCCCCAGCCCCGACCCGGCUGUGCCCUCGCGCACACCACUGGAGCCUCCGGCUCCGGAUCUCCUCACCGAUCGGA